Long non-coding RNA from Bos taurus (domestic cattle), 2791 nucleotides. The record is from Ensembl. Lineage: Eukaryota; Metazoa; Chordata; Mammalia; Artiodactyla; Bovidae.
CGUUAACCCCGGCGCGGCCCGCAAUCUCUCCCGCAGGGCGAGGCGGAGUCCAGGGACAGCACCCCCGAGAAGACCGUUGGGAUCUCCGGUCCGGUGGCGGCCCGCACGAACCACUCCUGCCUGGGGUCACCUGUCCCAGUGUUUGGGGCUCCGAUUCUAGUUUAUUUGGAGAACUUUCGGCAGAGAAUGAGAUGGUUAGACAGCAUCACCGACUCAAUGGACAGAAGUCUGAGGAAACUCCGGGAGACAGUGGAGCCUGGCGUGGUGCAAUCCAUGGGGUCGCAAAGAGACCGACACGACUUAGCGACUGAACAGCAGCACCGACUUAUCUAUUUACUUGAGUGAGUGAGUGAAGUCGCUCAGUCGUGUCCGACUCUUUGCGACCCCAUGGACUGUAGCCCACCAGGUUCCUCCAUCCAUGGAAUUUUCUAGGCAAGAGUACUGGAGUGGGUUACCAUUUCCUUCUCCAGCGGAUCUUCCCGACCUGGGGAUCGAACCCGUGUCUCCCGCAUUGCGGGCAGACGCUUUACCGUCUGAGCCACCAGGGAAUCGCAUCUAUUUACUUAGCGGUUAUAUUUUUAAAAUAGUUCUUUAAAUAAGCACUGGAGGCAUGUUUAGAGAAUUCACAUAGAAAAGAAGCGUAGCGCAGAGUGAAUUUCUUACCCACCCUUAUUCCCAGAGGCCACGGUUAAUUGUAUCUCCUUUCGGAGAGAUUCGAAGUCAAUGACAAAUCUUCCUUACUACGGACAAUACUAUAGAAAAAAGAUUCAAGGGCACAUUUCUUUGGCCAAUUGUGCAGGCUUAUGUAGGAUGAAUUCCUAGAAGUGAAACUUCCCAGAAUCCACGGGGGAAAGACCUGUGUAUUUUAAUUUGGAGAGAGAUUGUCAAACAGAUUGAACUGACUUGGAAAAGACUGUGAAGCUGGGAAAGUUUGAAGGCAAAAGAAGAGGGUGGCCGAGGAUGAGAUGGUUACAUAGCAUCACCGACAUAACUUUGAACAAACUCUGGUAGAUCGUGGAGGACAGAGGAGCCUGGCGUGCUGAAGUCCAUAGGGUCACAAAGAGCCGAACACAACUUAGCGACUGAACAGCAUCAAUUGUUAAGUUGUUUUUCAGUGAGCUUCUGCCAAUAAUGCUCUAAUCAGCUGGUUUUCCCACAACCUUUGCAACCUCAAUGGCAUCACAGUUUCCUGUACAUGUACUUUCAAAGUUUUAAAUCUUGCCUAAUCUGUUGCAUUGACUAGCACCUCCAGACAAUAUUAAAUCAUUGGAGGAGAUGGGUGGACUGUGAGUAUCCCUCCACUCCAGCUCAGUUUAGUUUCUUCACUUUGACGGUAAAACUUCUAGUAUUUGCCCAUUAAACUCAACACUGCCUUUGGCUUGAGAUUUUUCCGUUCAAUGAGGAAAUGCUCGUUAUUUUUAAUUGAGACUUUGUGUAAUGGAUGCUGUGAAUAGUACCAUUUCACUCUAUGAUUUUGCUUCCUGAUGCAUUAAUACGGCUAUUAACAUGCUUCCUAAUACUGAACCAUCUCUGAGUCACAAGCAGGAGCCUCCUUCUUAUGGUCUACUUUUAAAGAGUUGCCACUAGAGCUUUCAUAAAGCUUUAAAAACUGCCACCAGAAUUUUAAAAGGUAUUAGUGGUGGUUUUACACCUAUGCUGAUGCAGUGGGGGUGGGGCCCACACGGACAACUCCAUGCGUGUUCCACAGGCACCUUCUGUCCACCCUUCCUUUCCAAGCUUCUUCAGUCACUCCUCUCACAGACUUUGCUCUUGACAUCUGGAGUGGGGAUAAGCAGAACCCAGGACCCAUAAUUCCUCUGGACUCAUACUCCAUGAUCCCUUCCAGGGUCCCAACUCCAACGCCCACCCAAACUAUGACCUGGGCAGGCAGGGUCGCCACUGAUUUUCUUGUGUUUGCUGAGUGACUGUGUGAAGCAUCUGCAGUGUCCUGAGACUUUCGGCUGUGGCUGGGCUAAGCCUUGUCUCUAAAUUACCACUUUCAAUCCCAAGGAAAGCCCAGUACUGACACCCUGAGAGGGUAAUAGGCAGGAAGGCUAGGGGUCCCCAGAUGGAGGAAAUAGGUUGCAAGUGUCAGACAUUUUUUUUUUCUCUCUCUUAAGUGGCAGGAGGAAACAAACUACAAGUGUCAGACAUUUUCCCCUUCUCUAUGCAAAAUUAAAAGGUUUCUUUAAAAAUUUUGUGUUGCCAUGAUGACACCUGGUUCCACCUGAAAUUAACUUUUCUCAAACCUUGAGCUAACCAAUGCGUUUUUCUUAUGGAAAUUUUUUCUUAAGCUAUGUUAAUGAACUAUGUACUUACCUUAGACUCUGUCUUUCAUCAAGUAGGUUCUGCCUAAGACUCAGAAAACCAGCAUGUUUUACUCACGGAAAUGUUCUCUUAAGCUAUGUUAAUGCAACUGUGUAUUUGCUUGGAAAUCUGCCUUUCUUCAAGAUUCAAGUCAAUUUUUUUUAAGGAAUUUAUUUGGUCGCAAGAGGUCUUCGUUGAGGCGUGUGGAAUCUAGUUCCCUGACCACGGACUGAACCUGGGCCCCCUGCAUUGGAAGCAUAGACUCUUAACCACUGGGCCACCAGGGAAGUCCCCAUGUCAACUGUUGUAUGGCCUGGGAUGACUCACCUUGUGCCAGUGUUAUCGCAAAAUGCAUGUUGUGGGUGAGGGGCCGGGUGCCACUCUGAGUUUUCAGACAUUUCCUUUUCUCUAAUUAGCAGCUUACUAAUAGGUAUAUAACUUCUUGCUGAAAACUAGCAAGUUAAUAAAACUUUAUUACACAAAA